GAUGAAGAACGUAGCGAAAUGCGAUACUUGGUGUGAAUUACAGAAUCCCGUGAACCAUCGAGUCUUUGAACGCAAGUUGCGCCUCAAGCCAUUAGGUUGAGGGCACGUCUGCCUGGGCGUCACAUAUCGUUGCCUGAUGCCAGUUUCCUCGUGAUGGGUGACUGUGCAGGGCGAAUGAUGGCUUCCCGUGAGCAUUGUUGCCUCAUGGUUGGUUGAAAAUUGAGUCCUUGGUAGGGAGCGCCGUGAUAGAUGGUGGUUGAGUGACGAACGAGACCCAAUCAUGUGAGACCCCUACCGAAUUUGGCCUUCAUGACCCACAUGCGUCUUUGGAACGCUCAUGACGAGACCUCAGGUCAGGCGGGGCUACCCGCUGAGUUUAAGCAUAUCAAUAAGCGGAGGA
Molecule: unclassified non-coding RNA, 400 nt
Filed under: soil metagenome
Description: partial contains 5.8S ribosomal RNA, internal transcribed spacer 2, and large subunit ribosomal RNA
Rfam family: 5.8S ribosomal RNA (bases 1-122)
Source: RNAcentral